This is a long non-coding RNA of Gracilinanus agilis (Agile Gracile Mouse Opossum), 1245 nucleotides long. RefSeq lists it as uncharacterized. NCBI's taxonomy places the organism in Eukaryota, Metazoa, Chordata, Mammalia, Didelphimorphia, Didelphidae. The record is from RefSeq and is a predicted model, not a curated record. The transcript has 3 exons.
CAAAAUACCCUAAAUUAAUUAAUUAAAUACAAGUUUUCAAUUAAAAGAAUAAAAAAUAAAAACAUUCAGUUUAAGUCACAGAAUUUUUUCCCACAGAUAUAUACAUAAUUAAUUGCUUUAAGUGGCCAUAUUAAAAAGAAAAAGUUUCUUCAGUUUAUAACUUUAUUUGUUUUGGCAGAGAAAAGAACAAAAAUAUGAUUAAGAAAGGAAAAAAAGGAAGGAAAAGAAAAAUGCAGGAAUGAAUCAGAUAAUAAUGUCCAGCAAAUAUAAAUUUGCUGGAAAACUCUCUCAGUUAUUAUAGAAUGCUAUUUUCUUUCUUCAGAAGGUGCUAAUUCCAGAUAAAUGUAAUUGCACCAUGGAAUCAGACGAUUGGGGUUCAAAUUCCAGCUCCGUUAUUUGUUACCUGUCUGAUCUUGGAUUCUGUAGCCUGGGAACUUCCAAAAUCAAGGGGAAAAAUUGACCCCUAUUCAAGGAAGAACAGAAGCACAGAAAUGAGAGUAAAGCUGUACAAUGUGGCAGCCAAGAAAGCUAAAGUCAUCUUUGGCUGUACUGAGAGGCCUAAACUUCCAGGCUUAAAGAAGGGACACAGUUCCAGUCAAACUGCCUCUAGAGCCCUGUGGGUGAACCUACAAUAUACGUGCCAGAGGGAGCUGCUCCCUUCCCCCUCUCCAAUGUGCUGAGAACAUUUCUACCAUAACCCACCUCUCUGCCGGCAGCUCAAUGAAAGUGCUUCCUCCCUUCCCUAUCUGAGGUGCGGGGGUGCUUCACAUGCAGCAUAAGGGUUGCAGUUUGGGCACUCAGUCUCUAAAAAGUUUGUCAUCACUGCUCUAGAGUUUUUUGUUCAGUUCUCCCCAUGGGUUACCAAAAAAAAUUUAAAAAGACUUGGCAACAGAUUGGAUAUGUGGCAUAAGUUGAUGAUGAUAUCUUAAGUCAUGUGCCUGGGUACCUGAGAUGAGUACUGGAGUCAAGGUUAGAUAAGGAUUAAUUGAAGAAACUGAGAGUAUUCAGCCUACAAAUGACUUAAAGUUGUGUUUUCAUAAUAAUGUUAUAUAAAUUGGUCUCCUGGUUCUGUUCACUUCAUUCUUUAUCAGUUUACACAGUUCCCAUUCGUGACUCUAAAGAUCUGAUGAUGAAAUUUGCUAUCCAUUACAGAAAGGUAUUAGAUUUAGAUUAUAGAAUGAGAAAUGCAGUUUGUGAAUUACACACUAACUACCUAUCUAUCUAUAUUAUAUACAUAUAUACACA